CUGGCACAAACCAGAUCUUGGCACGCAGGAGAAUGUGCAUAAGCUGGAGCCUGAGGCGUGGAAACACGUGGAAGCCGUAUAUAUAGACAUUGCAGAUCGAAGCCAAGUGCUCAGCAAGGUAGGAUCCGUUUAAAGACGUGGGUGGCCUUCGAGACGCAGAAAUGACUUCUCAAUGCUAAAGAAACCAGGAAACCAUACCCAACUUGGCACAAAAGGAAAUUCUGAUAUGUCUUGCUUGUUUUAUUUUUAAAAGUGAGUAUUAGGAGAUUUUUUGUCUUGAGUUGGGGAUGCUACCAGAAAAUUAGUGGCCCAAAUUUGUGUGCCCUGUUUGGCCUCUGAAAAUUAUUACUGGACUAAGUAGGUAUUGUAGCUAGAGUAUUUUGCCCUGCUAAAAUGAUGCUUAGCCUGAAAAAUCGGAGCACCAGUUCUCAAAUUUAUUUUUCCAACUCAGUAAUUAAAAAAACAUUUACUUCCUGCCUACUGGGUUGUGGAAUAUUGUCAGGAUCUCUGGGUUCCAGGUGAGGGAUGCAGAAGGUAUGAAAAGACAG
RNAcentral lists this small RNA (548 nucleotides) under Pan troglodytes (chimpanzee). Its description in RNAcentral is "retained intron". Lineage: Eukaryota; Metazoa; Chordata; Mammalia; Primates; Hominidae. The record is from RNAcentral.